RNAcentral lists this ribosomal RNA (490 nucleotides) under uncultured Singulisphaera sp. Its description in RNAcentral is "bacterial SSU rRNA". It matches the Rfam family "Bacterial small subunit ribosomal RNA", at positions 91 to 578 of the family's 1533-position model. The record is from RNAcentral. Lineage: Bacteria; Pseudomonadati; Planctomycetota; Planctomycetia; Isosphaerales; Isosphaeraceae.
GCCAGUGGCGUAAGGGUGAGUAAUGGGACGGCAACCAACCCCAGGGUCGGGCAUAGCCGAGGGAAACCUCGGGUAAUUCCCGGCGACGUGAAAUAUAGGCAUCUAUGUUUCACCACAGGUGCGAUUCCGCCCUGGGACGGGCCGUCUUGGUAUUAGCUUGUUGGCGGGGUAAUGGCCCACCAAGGCUACGAUGCCUACCGGGCGUGCGAGCGUGGCCCGGCACACUGGGACUGAGACACUGCCCAGACUCCUACGGGAGGCUGCAGUCGAGAAUCUUCGGCAAUGGGCGCAAGCCUGACCGAGCGACGCCGCGUGGAGGACGAAGGCCUUCGGGUUGUAAACUCCUGUCGAGGGGGAGGAAGGACGUGUGCAGAGCACGACUUGACCGAUCCCUGGAGGAAGCACGGGCUAAGUUCGUGCCAGCAGCCGCGGUAAGACGAACCGUGCGAACGUUAUUCGGAAUCACUGGGCUUAAAGCGCGUGUAGGCGG